CCCUUAGACGUUCUGGGCCGCACGCGCGCUACACUGACCAGUGCAACAAGCAUCCGUCCUUGGCCGACAGGCUCGGGCAAUCUUUGAACGCUGGUCGUGAUGGGGAUAGACUUUUGCAAUUUUUGGUCUUCAACGAGGAAUUCCUAGUAAACGCAAGUCAUCAACUUGCAUUGAUUACGUCCCUGCCCUUUGUACACACCGCCCGUCGCACCUACCGAUUGAAUGGUCCGGUGAAGCCUCCGGAUUGGCGCGCACCUCGGUGCCGCCGAGAAGUUGGCUAAACCUUACCAUUUAGAGGAAGGUGAANUCGUANCA
RNAcentral lists this ribosomal RNA (315 nucleotides) under uncultured eukaryote. RNAcentral describes it as "partial 18S ribosomal RNA". It matches the Rfam family "Eukaryotic small subunit ribosomal RNA", at positions 1470 to 1796 of the family's 1831-position model. The record is from RNAcentral.